Molecule: ribosomal RNA, 359 nt
Filed under: uncultured Verrucomicrobiota bacterium
Lineage: Bacteria; Pseudomonadati; Verrucomicrobiota
Description: bacterial SSU rRNA
Rfam family: Bacterial small subunit ribosomal RNA
Source: RNAcentral
CGAAUUAAUACCGCAUGUGAUCAGAGUGGACAUCCAUUCGAAAUCAAAGUCGGGGCAACCUGACGCUUCUUGAGGAGCCCGCGGCCUAUCAGCUAGUUGGUGAGGUAACGGCCCACCAAGGCUUAGACGGGUAGCUGGUCUGAGAGGACGACCAGCCACACUGGGACUGAGACACGGCCCAGACACCUACGGGUGGCAGCAGUCGAGAAUUUUUCUCAAUGGGGGAAACCCUGAAGGAGCGACGCCGCGUGGAGGAUGAAGGUCUUCGGAUUGUAAGCUCCUGUCAUUGGGGAACAAUGCGUAAAUAUUAACUGUAUUUGCGUUGAUAGUACCCGAAAAGGAAGAGACGGCUAACUCUG